GAUUAUGCAAACUGUGAGAAAUUCAAAAACUGAGGAAGCUCCUGCCUGUGUUUUCGUAUCGCAAUGAGAACUGAAGCUAGGCAUGUAUUCACCAACAUGAGAUAAAUAUGAGUGCAUGAAGCAGCAGAGGCUGCUAAGCAUGCUGAAGAAUGGACCCUUGUUCCUAAAGUCUUCCUCAGGACAGAGACACAAACAGGACCAGGUGACCUCAAUUAUUUGUGAAUGGAGAAUGGGUGUAUGAACUGUCUCUUUAAACUCUCCCAAAGACGACCAGUUAAUAUUACAUUAUUAAAAAUGUAAAGGAAGUUUCAUUCUACUAACAAUACAAGUGCAGUAAAAUACUUUAUAUGUUAUAGUUGCUCCAUAAAUUUUAGGCUCCGUCUGUUGAUCAUUUUUUUACCACCAGAAUAUAGAGAAAACAAUGAAGGAACUUCCACUUUGAGCUUAUCUGAGCCACACAGAGGAAAAAAGUGGUAAACAGAAAUAAUAGGAAAGUUUAGAAAAAAAUUUAUUGUUCUUUCAUAAUUAAAUGUACUAUGUAUUUUUUAAAGAAAUAACCUUAGCUAUUUUGAAUCUAUAUCCCUUUCUUAAGGAUAAUAAAAAACUUUAACAUAUUUGAACUCCUCACUGAAUACCUCACUCCCUGCCUUAUCUAACUGUCUUCAUUUUUUUGGUUAGGAAAUUUAAUACUAUGUUGUUUAUGUAAGACAUGGUUUUCUGAUGACCCCAGUAUUUAAUUACAUUUGACAGUAUUAUUUGCUCACCACAAGUUUUGUUCUGUUUUGUUUUAUUAUUUCUUUAAAAAUCUACUCAUUUCUCUACAUUAUUAUUGCUAAAAUUCAUCCCUUAAAUAUUAUUUUUGUGAUGAUCUGUGAAACAUGAACACUUUUAUUCUUUGUCUAGAAUUGCCUUAAUUCCCCUUGUUCUUUGAUGUUAUUUAGGCUGGGCAUAGAAUUAUAGGUUGCCAGCUUCUGUGCCUCAGCAUCAUUUUCUGAAUAUAUUGUAGUUAAUAAGAAGUGUUUUGCAAACUUAAUUUUCAUAUUUUGAAGAUGAUAAUAUACAUUAUUUAUAAUUUUUAAACAAUGUGUGAAGUUUCUCUAUAGUAUGUACUUGUAUCCAGUGCCAUACUAUUCUUCUACACAGAAUGAUCUAUUGAAAAUGCAAUAUAGUGAGUUACAUUAUGAUAUUGCUUAAAAUCCUGCACCACCCCCAUAUCUACAGGAUAAAAUUCAAAUUUAUCAGGAAAGCCGCAAUGGUUCAUGCCAAUCCCUAUAGCCUUAUCUCUGACCAUUGUAGACCUCACACUUUAUGUGCCAGACACAUAAAAAUACUUCUCAUUCACUGAACAUACUAUGCUGUUUUUAGGUUCUGAGUGUCUAUUUAUUCUGUUCUCUCUACUAAAAGUAUCUUCCUUCUCAUUCUCAAUUUUAUUUUUAACUAAUAAAUUUUCCUUAAUAUUUAAGCCUUUAUUGAAACCUUAUCUCUUCCAAGAAGCUUGACCUAACUCCUCCAGUAUGAGGUAACUGUGUUUCUUCUGUGCUCCCAAAAUACUCCAUUUAUGUGAAUGACUCUCCCAAUGGAUCUUAAGUUUCUUGGUAUCAGGGGCUAUGUCUAACACAUUUCUAGCCCCUAUCAUAUAUACUACUCUUCACUUAGAAGAUUCUUAGUAUAUAUUUGCUGAGUAUUUAAAAUAACUAAGGAAAAGAAGGUAGACAAUAUAAUAUGAAUUUUACCAUAAUUCCAUGGACCCAUAUAUAUUGUAUUAACAUUCAAACUUCAACUACUAUCCUAUCUUUAUAAUUCACUUACUCUAGAAUACUCACAAGAAUCUAAAUAUUUGAUAAGGUCAAUAAUUUAAAACUGGGAAAAGAAAACAAAGUUUCCUCCCUCCUCAGUUCUUAUAGAGAAAAGCAGUAUGUCAACGUACAUUGAAAUUUAUUUCUAGAUUAAAAAAACAUUUAUUGUCUACAAAGAAUUUAAAAUACCUGGUACUAUUGAAAAUCUCAAAACCACAACAACGUAAAGAAACUUCUUAGAAGAUUUAUACAUUAUUUUUUAUUAUUUUUUAAAUUUCUGGAUUUAAGACAAAAUACUCUAACUUCACCAGAUUCAAAAUCUAAUUCUCAUGCAAG
Molecule: long non-coding RNA, 2132 nt
Organism: Homo sapiens (human)
Lineage: Eukaryota; Metazoa; Chordata; Mammalia; Primates; Hominidae
Source: Ensembl